Long non-coding RNA from Carassius carassius (crucian carp), 637 nucleotides. RefSeq lists it as uncharacterized. The record is from RefSeq and is a predicted model, not a curated record. NCBI's taxonomy places the organism in Eukaryota, Metazoa, Chordata, Actinopteri, Cypriniformes, Cyprinidae. The transcript has 3 exons.
UUUUACAAGACGUUGGAAGAACGGCGACCUGAUUCUGAAUCUGCAGACAGUUCGGGAGAAAGCAUGGCUGAUCGAAGGAUUCCGCGUAAAAGGGUACCACCCAAUUGCCUUGUUGAUGAAAAUGAGGAAAAUGAUGCCUUGUCAGCAAAGGAAGACAUGAUGGGAGCUUCCUGCAAACCCAAAUAUGAUGAUCUUGUGUCACAGUCUUCCAGUACAGAAGAUGACCUUCAUACAAUACGGAAAAAGAAGACAAAGAGUAGAGGAAAAGUUGAGAGAAAAAAAAAAACAUCACAAAGUUGACUCAUCGUCCUCCUCUGAAUCAACCUCAUUCUCAUCUCAAUCCUCUUUAUCCUCUGCACCCCGAAAAUCCAGCAAAAAUAAGGAUAAAGCCAAGAAAAGGAAUGGGAAAAAAAGCAGAAAUGCACAAGAGUCUUUCUUCCAGAGCAAGCCAUUAAGAGAUACAAGAAGGUCUUGGGCUAUUUGAAAAGUGGAACAACAAAAAUACAGGCGUACUUCAAAUGUGGCGUGGAUAGAAAGACAAUUGUGGAUACUGCUGCAAUUGCAGAGCUCGAAGCAUGUGACAUCGAGGCCUACAAAAAUUUGCGUGGCACCUUCCAAAGAGGACAGAAACUGUCUG